Molecule: unclassified non-coding RNA, 378 nt
Filed under: uncultured Actinomycetes bacterium
Lineage: Bacteria; Bacillati; Actinomycetota; Actinomycetes
Description: uncultured actinobacterium contains 16S-23S intergenic spacer region
Source: RNAcentral
UCCGAGUUCACCCCGGCAGUCUCCCAUGAGUUCCCGACAUAACUCGCUGGCAACAUAGGACAAGGGUUGCGCUCGUUGCGGGACUUAACCCAACAUCUCACGACACGAGCUGACGACAACCAUGCACCACCUGUACACCCCCAACUAAAUGACCCCACAUCUCUGCAGGAACUGGGUGUAUGUCAAAUCCUGGUAAGGUUCUUCGCGUUGCAUCGAAUUAAGCCGCAUGCUCCGCCGCUUGUGCGGGCCCCCGUCAAUUCCUUUGAGUUUUAGCCUUGCGGCCGUACUCCCCAGGCGGGGCGCUUAAAGCGUUAGCUACGGCACAGAAAACAAUGAAGUCCCCCACACCUAGCGCCCAACGUUUACAGCGUGGACUAC